UCGUAAUACCAAGAAGCUGUUUAAAGUAAUCUUGGAAACCUGUGCGACAAACAAGUUUUUUGCAUCGUCUUAUAAAAUAAAUAAAUGUCGUGACGUAGUCGUGUGGACUUUGUGUGUGACGGGCUAACAGAAUUAGGUAGAUCGCGUUUAAAUGCGAGGCGUGGCGACCCCGAUGAAAUAUCUACAUACGUGCGGAGAAAAAAUCGUUACGUAUAGAAAGAGUCACUAUCCCCAAGUUGUUUUAUGUAAGAAAAAAAUAAUAAUAAAAAUGGAUGUUGACGUUUUUGUCGUUGUUGCGAUGGCGUGCAAAAAGGCAAGCUUGACAUUCUCAUUUCCUUCUGUAGAACGACCGACGAGUUCACUGCAAAAUAUUAUAUACAUGUUAUCUUGAAAGCGAGAGAGCGUAAUAGCAGCCAACAUCACAGACAGGAAAGAGAUCUGACUAUAGAGUACAUUAGAGCCAUACAGCAAAAAUCACGAAAAAAAAAGGCACCGUGUCUUUGCCUCUUUUUCGGGGAGGUUCUUGUUGUGUUUAGGGACAGCCAUUUCUGUUUUGCAAUGGGGCUAAAUAUAAUCUAAUUUUUUUUUUCUUUACCGUGUAUACAAACUCCUUUUUUUUUUUCUGGUUACGUUCGUGACACUGUUCAUCCAGCCGUCGAAUCUUGUAGACUCGGAUUUUGUACGGCACAAAGAUCGGUGGUGAGCUGGUGACACACCACUUUCCGCUUUGGAAAUCCCAAAUUGUAGUGCUGCGAUGUCACCGUAUACAAACAUCUGCUGGAUGAUGAGCAAAAAUAACGUUUCAGUUGUAAAUGUAAAAUAGUUCUUACCAUCAACGUGCAUAUUUCUUGACAGGUGGCUGCCGAACUUGGAUACCGAUAUUUAAUUAAGAACAAGGCAAACUUUGAAUAAUACAGGGGAUGUCACUGGCUGAAUCAAAAUCUGGAAAGCCAAAAAAAAAAGAGGAACUUGUUAGAUGAGUACUUUAAUAGAGCAUUUACAUAUCUAAUUAAUUGGCUGCCUAAACUGUUUGAUUUAAGUUUUCAUCCACAAUUGAUUUUUGUGGGAUUUAUACAUUAAAGGAUAUCCAUGCCUGUUUUACAUUGACUAGAAAAGGAAAACUUGCAGAACAUUGACAGCAAAGUCACAGAUUCAAGCAACACUAAUUUUGCAGCUAUCUUCAAAGCAGCAAAAGCAUAAGACAGUAAAAUUUAAAGAGCACAUCAUAGCGAUCUCAUAUGUUUGACUUGAAAUGAAUAAAAUGUUUUCUGCUCUGUUGAA
Long non-coding RNA from Daphnia magna, 1281 nucleotides. RefSeq lists it as uncharacterized. The record is from RefSeq and is a predicted model, not a curated record. The transcript is spliced from 2 exons. NCBI's taxonomy places the organism in Eukaryota, Metazoa, Arthropoda, Branchiopoda, Diplostraca, Daphniidae.